Molecule: long non-coding RNA, 2795 nt
Organism: Gopherus flavomarginatus (Mexican gopher tortoise)
Lineage: Eukaryota; Metazoa; Chordata; Testudines; Testudinidae
Exons: 3
Source: RefSeq, a predicted model, not a curated record
UGUGCGGGCGCCUCCUCGGGCCGCGGGUAUUUUUGGCGGCGGUCUGCGCCCAGCCCAGCGGCCCCGCCAGCUCCGGCUCCCCCGCGGCAGCGAUGCGAUCGGGCAUCACUCGAAAAUGGCGCCGAAAGCGCAGGGCUCUUCAUUCAAAUUCGUUAGAGCCAGCCCCGCUGCCCUGGGGCAUGCCGGGAAUGGGGGGGGAGCGAGGGGGAGAGCUGCUCGCGCUGAGGCAGCGCUACGGAGGCGCUGCUGUCAAUAGCACCCCUCCCCCUCCCCACUGGCGCGCGCUCCACCCCCUCCCCGCUAGCGCGCGCUCCCGCACUAGCAACCCAACCGCCACUCACGGGGGGGAGGAGAAGGGAGGGGGGAAUGUCACCCAGAGCCCCAGACCCUGGGGAGAGAGACAGUCAUUCACCAUCAGCCCUAUGGACUUGUCAAGGUCUGGGGAGAGGCUAAGUGGAAGUGGAAGAGAAGCAGGAAGUUACAGAGAAAGUGGUGAAGUGCAGUGCAUUCUAUAGGCCUGUUGCCUGUUAACUGCAGUCUUGGUGAAUAUCAAAAAAAGGUAAUCUGAACUGCACUUCUUUUAUUUUGCACCUUCAUGAAGGGACAUAUAAUUAGGGCCCUGUAUACUCUGCGGCACAGAAGGACCAAAUUCUAUGGAAACAAUCCUGAAGGCUCUGGAUGAAUGUAUUCCAUAAGUAUGGAAUACCUUUCAUUCUAAUCCCCCUGUCAUACUACAAACACACACAUGGGUGGCUCAUCACUGAAAACGCUAAUUGACGUAAAAUUAAUUGAUGAUUAUUUUUUUGCAAUUAUUUUUGAGAAUGGAUUUUUUUUGCUAGGGUUUUCAGAUGGCCCAGCUCCAAUCCUAGGCAUUGAUUCCCAUGAUAUUUUCUUAGCAGCCUGGUUUAGAACCACCUUCUUUCCAUCUCUGUCAGAGAAGAAGGGUUUGUGGCUGGCUUCAGUGUCUCAUUUACCUGGUUCCCUAGGCCUUGGCUGCUGUGCUGUUCUCUACUCUAACAAGCUCACCAAGCUAUACUUUUGGCUCUCUCCACUCUCUGAACUGCAAACUGGACUUCAGCUCUUAGACACACUCUGCUGCCUAGCUCCAUGGAACAGUGUAGGAAGCAUGCACAAUAAUCCACUUAAUCGCCUUUUUUAGGGAAAGAUGGAGAGCAAAAGGUAACUGAAAGCAGCAGGGCAAUGAGACGGACCACAAAAUUUUGGGUGGCUGUCUCCAGCAAUAGACCAAAUUCCAUGCCAUCUUGGUAAAAUGCCAAAGUCUGUGGGUGCAGAAUCAUAGAAUCCAAGGGGCCCUGACUGCAAGGAAUAGGGCACAUCACACCUCUCAGAGCUAUUGUUUCAGGUUCUUUGCAGAUUCAGGCAGGAAACAUUGCAUCAGUUUACAUUCAUUUGAUGUUUUGGAAGCUGUCUCUACAACCAUAACAAUUAGAAAUAAGGCCAAGAUUUCACCCAUAGUUUUUUUUAAAUGGAAGUUUAGAUUCUGCAGCACAAUUCUGUGGAAAGGGGUGAAUUCCUCAGCCAUGGUAUCACAGAAUGCUCAGGGCUCUGCAUAUAACAUGUUACUGAAUUAAAAAAAUACUCCUCACUAUCACAGUGAUUGGUCUCAAAUUUAUAGGAGCCAAACUGCUUUAAACCCAGGACUCUGGAUUUGUUGGGAUUGUGAAAGUGGGCACACAUUUUAUCUGCUUCAUUGCUCACUCACAGGAGAGAUGGCAGGGGAUAGAAAACUUGGAUAACUUUGGACUCUGAUCUCUGUAGAACAUAGGAUUCUUGUCAGUUUAAUUUUUUUGUCUGCUCACAAGAAUAGAGCCAGCAGACGAACAGAUAGAUAGUAUGGUAUCUGUGAUUCCAACAGAAUUGUGUUUAUAUUAUGAAUGUAUUUAUAUUUGCUUCUAGUUUAUGAACUGGUUUCUUAAGUCUUGUAGCUUUUGUUUUUGAGAACUAGUUCUCUAUUACUAGUUACUUCUGUAUCUGUGUGCAUGUUUAAAAAGAGGAGACACCUUUCCCUCUGCAAGUUUCUAGGAGUGUCAAAUUUGAAGGCUAGACUCAUGAUGGCUAUUGACAGUGUCCCUUGUCCAUUACAAACCUGUUUUUAAAGAGGUUGUAGUUUAUAUAUAUAUGAACAUGAUCACUGUUGAUGUUUCCCUGCAUGGACUCAACCUAGAAGUGUUCUUUAAAAAAAAACCCUGAAUGUAAGUUCUGUGUGAACAGGGAAUGAGAUAUGUUUAUUUGUUUAAAAUGACUUUUUGCACUUCUUGUAUCUUAAACAUCUUUGAUUUAAAAGCUUAAUUUUAGCAAAUAAUCAACAAUACUUUGUUUUCAUAAGAAUUUUUGUUUAAAAGGCCAACAAAUUUAACUUUAAAAAGUGGCUGGUCCUAAACUGAUUUUCAUGACAAUUUUUUAUUACAUAUUUUCUAAGGCCCUGAUCUUGGAAGCUGCUUGAUACUGUCCCCUGCGCCAGCAUGCAGCCCAUUGACUUCUUUGGGACUCCGGACUGGCUCAGGGAUCUGCCUGCAUAGUUCAGCUUCCAGGCUCAGAAUCUAAAUAGGUGUGUGAAGGAGCUUUCAUUAUUGUAAUUUCUACAUAAGCCCAGAUCCUGCAGUUGACUCUGUGUGGGUGGCACUCUAUUGAAGUCAAUGAGACUCCACACUGGGGAUGGGUUCUACUUGUGAAAAAUCAGUUGCAUGGUCGGGAUCCUAGUUUGACGCCUCAGGGUGCGUUCCGGAGCCUGCUUACCAGAUAAUGUAAGUCCUGUUUUUUCCCCCCAGAUUUGU